UCCUUCGUGAGGAGGAAUCUGAAGGAAGUUGUAAGCAAAGUCUUGUUCUAAAU
This is a non-coding RNA of Clostridium sp. CAG:921, 53 nucleotides long. NCBI's taxonomy places the organism in Bacteria, Bacillati, Bacillota, Clostridia, Eubacteriales, Clostridiaceae. The record is from Rfam.